RNAcentral lists this ribosomal RNA (491 nucleotides) under uncultured bacterium. RNAcentral's name for it is "partial 16S ribosomal RNA". It matches the Rfam family "Bacterial small subunit ribosomal RNA", at positions 28 to 507 of the family's 1533-position model. The record is from RNAcentral.
GAUGAACGCUAGCUACAUGCCUAACACAUGCAAGUCGCGGGGGAGCAUCGGGGCUGCUUGCACCCCCUGAUGUCGACCGUCGGACGGGUGAGUUACGCUCAUCCUACCUGCCCGUCACCACUGCUUAUCCCGGCUAAUGUCUUCCUACUAACGUUUUUUCUCCAUUUACUGCGCCCGAUUUGGACUAAAUGCUUGGUGGGGUAAGAGUCGGGCUGAGUUCGUUUAGCUUGCUGGUGGGGGAACGGCCCACCGCGGAUACGAUCGGUAGGGGGUCCGAGAGGAAGGUCCCCCACACGGGAACUGAGACACGGACCAGACGCCUACGGGAGGCAGCAGUGAGGAAUAUUGGUCAAUGGGCGUAAGCCUGAACCAGCCAAGUAGCGUGCAGGAUGACGGCGCUAUGGGUUGUAAACUGCUUUUAUGCGGGGAUAAAGUGGCCCACGUGUGGGCUUUUGCAGGUACCGCAUGAAUAAGGACCGGCUAAUUCCGUG